GAAAACACCAGUGUGAAAGCCGUACUAUACACAGAGGACUGCUGCAGACCCUGUAGACCCCGUGCGUUCCGCUUCAGUCUCUACAAGAUCUCUAGCCCAGACUGGCCUGAAACUUGCUACCUAGUCAAAGAUGACCUUGAACUUCUGAUUGUUUUGCUUCCACACUCAAAGCACUGGAAUUACUGGCAUGCACUACCCUGACCUCUUCAUACAGUGCUAGGUGUUGUGCUGGACUUCCUGAAUGCCAGGCUACUACUGUAGCGACUAAGCCACAUCUCUGGUUCUGUACUCAGGAUUUUACAUUAAGCUGCUCUUAGGAACCUUCAUCUGGUGAUGGAUGGAGAUAGAGACAGAGACCCACACUGGAGCACUGGACUGAGCUCCCAAGGUCCCAAUGAGGAGCAGAUGGAGGGAGAACACGAGCAAGGAUGUCAGGACCACGGGGGGUGCACCCUCCCACUGAGACAGUGGGGCUGAUCUAUUGGGAGCUCACCAAGGCCAGCUGGACUGUGACUGAAAAAGCAUGGGAUAAAACCGGACUCUCUGAUCAUGGCGAACAAUGAGGGCUGAUGGGAAGCCAAGGUCAAUGGCAAGGGGUUUUGAUCCUACUUCAUGAUCCGGCUUGGUGGGAGCCUAGCCAGUUUGGAUGUUCACCUUCCUAGACAUGGACGGAGGGGGGAGGUCCUUGGACUUUCCACAGGGCAGGGAACCAUGACUGCUCUUUGGAUUGGAGA
Long non-coding RNA from Alexandromys fortis (reed vole), 734 nucleotides. RefSeq lists it as uncharacterized. NCBI's taxonomy places the organism in Eukaryota, Metazoa, Chordata, Mammalia, Rodentia, Cricetidae. The transcript is spliced from 3 exons. The record is from RefSeq and is a predicted model, not a curated record.